Small nuclear RNA from Octodon degus (degu), 192 nucleotides. Its record names the gene U2. It matches the Rfam family "U2 spliceosomal RNA". Rfam says of the family: U2 is a small nuclear RNA (snRNA) component of the spliceosome (involved in pre-mRNA splicing). Complementary binding between U2 snRNA (in an area lying towards the 5' end but 3' to hairpin I) and the branchpoint sequence (BPS) of the intron results the bulging out of an unpaired adenosine, on the BPS, which initiates a nucleophilic attack at the intronic 5' splice site, thus starting the first of two transesterification reactions that mediate splicing. Lineage: Eukaryota; Metazoa; Chordata; Mammalia; Rodentia; Octodontidae. The record is from Ensembl.
AUUGUUUCUUGACCUUCUGGAUUAGACUAACAGCAGUAUCUGUGUUUAUCGGAUUAAUAUCUAAUAUGUCCUCUACUUGAGGACAAUAUAGUAAAUGGAUUUUUUUAGAGCAGGGAAGUGGAGUAGAAGUUGCUUCAUCCACUUCCCACACUGAACUGGUCUUGUAGUAUCUCUAGAAAUGGUGUCUUUCCU